GUGCUUACUUCAGUAGUACAUAUUACUAAAAUUGGAGCAAUACAGAGAAGAUUAGCAUGGCCCGUGUACAGGGAUGACACAAAUUCAUGAAGUGUUCCAUGUGUUA
Molecule: small nuclear RNA, 106 nt
Organism: Hyaena hyaena (striped hyena)
Lineage: Eukaryota; Metazoa; Chordata; Mammalia; Carnivora; Hyaenidae
Source: RefSeq, a predicted model, not a curated record